RNAcentral lists this ribosomal RNA (446 nucleotides) under uncultured bacterium. Its description in RNAcentral is "bacterial SSU rRNA". It matches the Rfam family "Bacterial small subunit ribosomal RNA", at positions 331 to 792 of the family's 1533-position model. The record is from RNAcentral.
CCAGACUCCUACGGGAGGCAGCAGUGGGGAAUAUUGGACAAUGGGGGGAACCCUGAUCCAGCGACGCCGCGUGAGUGAAGAAGUAUUUCGGUAUGUAAAGCUCUAUCAGCAGGGAAGAAGAAAUGACGGUACCUGACUAAGAAGCCCCGGCUAACUACGUGCCAGCAGCCGCGGUAAUACGUAGGGGGCAAGCGUUAUCCGGAUUUACUGGGUGUAAAGGGAGCGUAGACGGCAGUGCAAGUCUGAAGUGAAAGCCCCGGGCUUAACCCGGGAACUGCUUUGGAAACUGUACGGCUGGAGUGCUGGAGAGGUAAGCGGAAUUCCUAGUGUAGCGGUGAAAUGCGUAGAUAUUAGGAGGAACACCAGUGGCGAAGGCGGCUUACUGGACAGUAACUGACGUUGAGGCUCGAAAGCGUGGGGAGCAAACAGGAUUAGAUACCCCCGUA